UUUCCCUUCGGGGACAAAAUGACAGGUGGUGCAUGGCUGUCGUCAGCUCGUGUCGUGAGAUGUUGGGUUAAGUCCCGCAACGAGCGCAACCCUUAUUGUCAGUUGCCAGCAUUAAGUUGGGCACUCUGGCGAGACUGCCGGUGAUAAACCGGAGGAAGGUGGGGAUGACGUCAAGUCAUCAUGCCCCUUAUGACCUGGGCUACACACGUGCUACAAUGGAUGGUACAACGAGUCGCAAACUCGCGAGGGCAAGCAAAUCUCUUAAAACCAUUCUCAGUUCGGAUUGUAGGCUGCAACUCGCCUACAUGAAGUCGGAAUCGCUAGUAAUCGCGAAUCAGCAUGUCGCGGUGAAUACGUUCCCGGGCCUUGUACACACCGCCCGUCACACCAUGAGAGUUUGUAACACCCAAAGCCGGUGGGGUAACCUUUUAGGAGCUAGCCGUCUAAGGUGGGACAGAUGAUUGGGGUGAAGUCGUAACAAGGUAGCCGUAGGAGAACCUGCGGCUGGAUCACCUCCUUU
This 520-nucleotide ribosomal RNA is filed under the name Ligilactobacillus ubinensis. RNAcentral's name for it is "Bacterial small subunit ribosomal RNA". It matches the Rfam family "Bacterial small subunit ribosomal RNA", at positions 1013 to 1533 of the family's 1533-position model. The record is from Rfam by way of RNAcentral. Lineage: Bacteria; Bacillati; Bacillota; Bacilli; Lactobacillales; Lactobacillaceae.